CGCGAAGUGGGUUCGACCGUGGUAACCCGGAGCAACCACCGAGUGACUCGGAGGACGCAAACGAGGACGACGAAAACAUUCCAGAUCUUCGUCCUCUCUUUGUCUGAGAUCAAGAUGUUUUGGACAAUUGGGCUAUUGUUAUGUUUAACCUUAAUACCUGCUACAGCCGUGUCAGAUCUAGAACAGCGUUUGCGCUAUAAUAUUUGGAUGCGACUGGCUAAUGUGCUUAAUCAAUCUGAAUUUUGUUUGAGUGUUGCACCCGAUAUGCAUGGCCUGUUGGGAACAUGCCUUGUACCUGUUUGCAAAGGACCUGGGGAAAUACCUAUAACAAACACCUCCGGCCUGUGUAACCUGAUCGAUUGCCAUGUACCUGGUAAAGCGUUCAAUAAAUCAAUGAUACAAUAUACCUCGCUAUUAGACUGGGGUACCCCCAGUUAUUCUCUCCGCCCGGAUGCUGUGCAACUUUAUACCCCUUUUGUUGCCAAUCAUGCCAAUAAUACUUGCGCACGCAUAGUAAAUUGCUCCUAUCAUCGCCCAACAAAGGGCUGUUUAUCUACUGGGCCAGCACGAUGGAACUGUACAACCCUUCUAAAUGUCACCAGCAAUUAUGGUCAUAUCCCCCUGCCUAGUGGGUGGUUUUUUACCUGCGGGAGUCGUACGUUUAAUUACGUUCCUGCCAACCUAUCUACCACUCAGUGUUGUCUUAGUCGCCUGGUCCCUAUUAUGCCCUCAAAAACUUUACUUGAUCGAACCAUUCAUUCACGAACUAAACGGCGUGCAUCCCCUCUAACCCCUACAUGUAAUGGAAAUGUAACCCUGCUUAGUCAGGCUGAAUAUAUUUCUUUAGCCGCUUCAUUGGUGGGUCUUCCGGGUUUAGCAGUAGGGUAUGGAAAUAAUUUGGCCGAACUUGCCUGCUUGUUAGCAAAAACUAUUAACACCACAUCUAGUGCUAUAGGAUUAUUAAACCAGGAACAGCAGGAAUUAAGGCACGCUGUCCUGGAUAACAGAGC
RNAcentral lists this long non-coding RNA (1010 nucleotides) under Gopherus agassizii (Agassiz's desert tortoise). Its description in RNAcentral is "lncRNA (ENSGAGG00000001741.1)". Lineage: Eukaryota; Metazoa; Chordata; Testudines; Testudinidae. The record is from RNAcentral.